GACUCCAGCCUCCAACCUCUCCUCGUUUCUGGUUGAGGCCGGGGCGAUCCUGCCCUCCCAUCGCCUCUUAGCGGCUAAGUCCUACGUUUUCUGUCGCUCUCUGAAUAGUCGUUCUUGGUGUUUUUCCUCUCAUUUCGUCCCCUUCAUCCUUUUUUUCCAAGAGUUUUGAUCUUGAUUCGUUCUCACUUAGGAAGCCAAAAAGUCCCGCUCCACGAAAACAGCCCCUCCGUGCGCAGGGUCGGGGCUGUCGCCUCGCUUUCCCAUGUGAGUCGGAGUGAAAUGUGUCGCUAGCCCCAUCCGGGACACACAGCAACGCGCCUGCGAUUAAGGAAACAGCACUUCUGAUUCUCCUUUAGAUGCUGACAAGGGUAACUCCAAAGGCUCAUCCUGUGGUGUGUAGCAGGCACAAGCAACUGCUAAAGGAGCAGGCCUCUUGCAGCUGCCGUGACCCUCACCCUCUGCAAUCGUCUUUGAGACACCUUCUGUUGUGCUCCCUUGUCCCAGAGAUGAAUUCUUUGAUCAUCUACUGCAUCAGUACCCUUCCAGAAAUCCAAUCUGGUGACCUCUACCUCCAACCUCUGCUCUGCCUGCCUACCACAGGGUAACUGUAACCGUUUGCAGCAUCUCAGGAGCGGGUUUCUCCAGCAGGAUUCCUAACAGCUUCACCUCCAGCUACAAGGAGAUGCCUGAAGAAUCUGACAAAAGAAGGGGAAAUAAAGGAAAGGACGAGCAAAGCUGCUGCAGAGAGAGUUGCUGGUGAUGUUGCAAGAAGAGGAAGACACCUGGCUGGAGGCCUAGGGACAUCCAUAGGGAUGUCCUUUGGGAAUGUGGAACUGGAUCUGUCGCCCGUUCUUAUGUGGCAGCAAAGUGCCCCAGCAUCAGUAACUUCCUUCUGCCAAACUGGUGCAACCGGACUGAAAUGCAGCAUGACUUAAAAGCCCUGGACUCUGACCUGGAUAAUAAAAACAACCUGCUUGAUGGAGUCUGACUAAUCUCCCCCACACUGAAAUUCUCAGUAAAACUGAAACAUAUUGAUUCUGGAAGGAGUGGAUGAGACUCAGGUUUCAGGCAAGUCUUCUUCCACCCACAGAAAUACUAUCUUCAAACCUUUCCAGUGUUGAGAUUCAAUCUGAGUAUGGGAUUUGGAUGGGCCAAUGUUAAUACUAACUUUGUACUGGGUAGCGUUUAUCUGAAUGCUUGCCAAACCACGCAGCACACUGCUGUUGCAGCAA
Dromaius novaehollandiae (emu) is the source of this 1232-nucleotide long non-coding RNA. RefSeq lists it as uncharacterized. The transcript has 7 exons. The record is from RefSeq and is a predicted model, not a curated record. NCBI's taxonomy places the organism in Eukaryota, Metazoa, Chordata, Aves, Casuariiformes, Dromaiidae.